GACGAACGCUGGCGGCGUGCUUAACACAUGCAAGUCGAACGGAAAGGCCCUGCUUUUGUGGGGUGCUCGAGUGGCGAACGGGUGAGUAACACGUGAGUAACCUGCCCUUGACUUUGGGAUAACUUCAGGAAACUGGGGCUAAUACCGGAUAGGAGCUCCUGCUGCAUGGUGGGGGUUGGAAAGUUUCGGCGGUUGGGGAUGGACUCGCGGCUUAUCAGCUUGUUGGUGGGGUAGUGGCUUACCAAGGCUUUGACGGGUAGCCGGCCUGAGAGGGUGACCGGCCACAUUGGGACUGAGAUAGGGGCCAGACUGCUACGGGAGGCAGCAGUGGGGAAUAUUGCAAAAUGGGCGGAAGCCUGAUGCAGCAACGCCGCGUGCGGGAUGACGGCUUUCGGGUUGUAAACCGCGUGCGCCUGUGACGAAGCGUGAGUGACGGUAAUGGGUAAAGAAGCACCGGCUAACUACGUG
Molecule: ribosomal RNA, 468 nt
Filed under: uncultured bacterium
Lineage: Bacteria
Description: partial 16S ribosomal RNA
Rfam family: Bacterial small subunit ribosomal RNA
Source: RNAcentral